RNAcentral lists this long non-coding RNA (224 nucleotides) under Elaeis guineensis (African oil palm). RNAcentral's name for it is "long non-coding RNA (EGUI_LNC016432)". The record is from RNAcentral. Lineage: Eukaryota; Viridiplantae; Streptophyta; Magnoliopsida; Arecales; Arecaceae.
UUGGACCUAGAUUUUGAUCUAUUUUUGGACUUACUUCUACCCUGUCCUCCUUUUUUCUGUUCAUCUCUACCUCUAACAGUAAGACCUUGAGCUGGAGUCUGAGCCUGAUGCUGAAGCUGUACUUUUAAUCUAAGUUCAUUGGAUAACAAAGUAGCUUCUACUUCUUCAAGACUUAUUGUUUCUCUUCCAUAAAGCAUGGUAGUGGUAAUAUGCUCAAAGGACUU